RNAcentral lists this transfer RNA (90 nucleotides) under Lacunisphaera limnophila. RNAcentral's name for it is "tRNA-Ser". It matches the Rfam family "tRNA". Rfam says of the family: Transfer RNA (tRNA) molecules are approximately 80 nucleotides in length. Their secondary structure includes four short double-helical elements and three loops (D, anti-codon, and T loops). RNAcentral also lists the same sequence under 10 other names. The record is from RNAcentral. Lineage: Bacteria; Pseudomonadati; Verrucomicrobiota; Opitutia; Opitutales; Opitutaceae.
GGAGAGAUGGCCGAGUGGCUGAAGGCACAGCUUUGCUAAAGCUGCAUAGGGGAAACUCUAUCGAGGGUUCGAAUCCCUCUCUCUCCGCCA